Zea mays is the source of this 133-nucleotide non-coding RNA. Lineage: Eukaryota; Viridiplantae; Streptophyta; Magnoliopsida; Poales; Poaceae. The record is from Rfam.
CUAAUCGACGAUGACGAAUUGAUCUCCAACAACCCCAUCGACCUCGACUACAAGUGCAACCUAGUCAUCACCACACUUGCAAAGGAUCAUCUCACCAUCAACGAGGUGUAUUCACAACUAGUCAGCUUUGAGA